CCCAGUAAACGGCGGCCGUAACUAUAACGGUCCUAAGGUAGCGAAAUUCCUUGUCGGGUAAGUUCCGACCCGCACGAAAGGCGUAAUGAUUUGGGCACUGUCUCAACAAUGCACCCGGUGAAAUUGAAAUACCAGUGAAGAUGCUGGUUACCUGCGCCAGGACGGAAAGACCCCAUGGAGCUUUACUCCAGCUUGAUACUGGGAUUCGAUAUUGCAUGUACAGGAUAGGUGGGAGACUGAGAACUGAUGACGCCAGUUGUCAGGGAGUCACUGUUGGGAUACCACCCUUGUAGUAUUGGAUUUCUAACCAGCAGCCGUGAACCGGCUGGGGGACAAUGUCAGGUGGGGAGUUUGACUGGGGCGGUCGCCUCCGAAAGGGUAUCGGAGGCGCUCAAAGGUUCCCUCAGAAUGGUUGGAAACCAUUCGAAGAGUGCAAAGGCAGAAGGGAGCUUGACUGCGACACCGACGGGUGGAGCAGGUACGAAAGUAGGACUUAGUGAUCCGGUGGUAUAAAGUGGGAUUGCCAUCGCUCAACGGAUAAAAGCUACCCUGGGGAUAACAGGCUUAUCACUCCCAAGAGUUCACAUCGACGGAGUGGUUUGGCACCUCGAUGUCGGCUCAUCGCAUCCUGGGGCUGAAGUAGGUCCCAAGGGUUGGGCUGUUCGCCCAUUAAAGCGGUACGCGAGCUGGGUUCAGAACGUCGUGAGACAGUUCGGUCCCUAUCCGGCGUGGGCGUAGGAUAUUUGAGAGGAGCUGCCCUUAGUACGAGAGGACCGGGGUGGACUGGCCGCUGGUGGAUCUGUUGUAUUACCAAAUGCAUAGCAGAGUAGCCAAGCCGGGACGGGAUAAACGCUGAAGGCAUCUAAGCGUGAAGCCCCCCUCAAGAUGAGAUAUCCCAU
Molecule: ribosomal RNA, 899 nt
Filed under: human gut metagenome
Description: bacterial LSU rRNA
Rfam family: Bacterial large subunit ribosomal RNA
Source: RNAcentral